This 87-nucleotide transfer RNA is filed under the name bacterium. Its description in RNAcentral is "tRNA-Leu". It matches the Rfam family "tRNA". From Rfam's summary of the family: Transfer RNA (tRNA) molecules are approximately 80 nucleotides in length. Their secondary structure includes four short double-helical elements and three loops (D, anti-codon, and T loops). Further hydrogen bonds mediate the characteristic L-shaped molecular structure. tRNAs have two regions of fundamental functional importance: the anti-codon, which is responsible for specific mRNA codon recognition, and the 3' end, to which the tRNAs corresponding amino acid is attached (by aminoacyl-tRNA synthetases). tRNAs cope with the degeneracy of the genetic code in two manners: having more than one tRNA (with a specific anti-codon) for a particular amino acid; and 'wobble' base-pairing, i.e. permitting non-standard base-pairing at the 3rd anti-codon position. RNAcentral also lists the same sequence under 2 other names. The record is from RNAcentral.
GCCCAGGUGGUGGAAUUGGUAGACGCGCUACGUUCAGGUCGUAGUGGGGGAAACCCCGUGGGAGUUCGAGUCUCCCCCUGGGCACCA